AAAUUUUUCAAAAACAUUUUUUUUAUUUAUAUCAAAUAAUUUAAAAUUCUAUUUUUACUUAAUAUAAUUGGAGAAAAAAAAUAUAUUUACUAGCUUAUUACAACUUAUAUUUUAUUUUUCAAUUACAAAAUUUAACAAAUUUAUAUCCAUAGGAGGGCGUUUUAUACAUAAAUAUGAAAAUAUAUUUUUAGGAAACCAGAAUAAAUAUUGGAUAGCGAUUUUUUUGUAAUUGGGUGUAAAAUGUGAACAACCUAAAAAAAAUUUAAAAAAUAGAGGUUUCUUUGAGAUUUAAUUAAUGAGUAGGUUUAGAAGCGAAAAAUAGUAGAAAGUUUGUAAGGAACAUACAGUUUAGCAAGAAAGUUUAGCAAAACAGUAUUUAGUCAUACCCAUUUAACAUGGACGUUUAAAAUUUAAAUCCGCCCUUCCCCAACCGAAUCUUAUUUUCUUGAUGAUUUAUAUCUUUGUUAUCCAUUACAUCUUGGGCUUUCUCGUCAUAAAUUGAUCAGUGAAUGAUUACAAAUUUUAUCGCAGCCGAACAUUUUGAGCCAUAUAAAUCGAACUAGAAUAUUAAAUUCGAACAUUUUUAUUUCACCAGAAAGUUAAAUAAUGUAUAUAUUAAAUUUUGUUUUUCUUUUUAGGAUCAAUUCGAUUCGUAAAUUCUAUUUGAUAUGAUAAACGUACAAAUCUCUUCAAUAUCGAUAGUGAUCAUUUAAGAUGUUACACUAGGGAAUUUAAACUUAAAAUCAGCCACCUCCCACCCCUUAAAGUAAUUAAAUUAUAACUGAAGUUCUCGGGUAUGGGCUUUUAUUUUAUACAACUCUUCACUUCUUAGCCUAUGUGGCGUUUAAAUAACAGUUCUCGGACUAUUGUGCGUAUAAGUACUUCAGGUUUGCAAAUGUAUGAAGGGCUCUUCAUUCUUUCUCUACCCCUAAAUUAAAUAUCCAAUUUUAUGGAUUAUGAGGAAAACCUAGCGUAGCUCUGUUGCAUGCCAACACUAAAGGGUUUAGAUCCAAUAAGUAGAGAGCGACAGCGACACGACAAAAUACAAAUAUAUGUAGACCUGUGCGCCGGCCGGCCAAUCACGCCGGCGCAAAAAUUUCUUUCUACCUUUUUAUUCUAAUAAUUGGUCAACAUCACUCUUUUAAUUUUUUAAUGUCAAUCAGGAUUUUGAUUAAUUUUUAUUUUCUACUAUUUUAAAAUCUUAAUUAUAUUGACGUCAUUAUAGAAUUCAAUCAAUCGAAAAUUCCAAAAGUUACCAUAAUUUUACAUAUUUUUAAAAUGGAUGCAUCUAUUUUAAAAAUUUAAAUAUUUUAGUAUCCUAACUCUGGAUAAUAAAAAAUCCAUAGUCUGGAAAUUUUUUGCAAAAGAAUUAGAGAAAUUAUUAUUGCUCUAAGAUAUUAAACUGCAGAGGUUGAAUUUGAAUUCGAGGAAUAUCAAAGAAAAUGUCUAAGUACAAUAGAUUUAACAUCAGACAUGUUAGAUCUUGACAGCAUUGAUCCAUACUCGGAUACCCGUUUUCAAAUUGGCAAUUCCAAUUAUAAUAAUAACACACGCAUAUGAUAACCUUAAAAUUAAAUAUCCCAACAUGUUGGCAUAGUAUAUUAAUUAUGCUAGCAUAUCUGGAUUAAAUAAGAAUUUAAUUAAUAAUGUUUUGAAAAGAAUUGAGAAGCACUUUCUCAAAUUAUCUAAUUAUGAAUCUGAUCUGGUAGAAGAACUAUUAGCAUUUCUUUCAAAAUUUAAAGUAACUGUCGAAUUUCUUUCAGUACAAAAAUGGCGUACUAUAAACUUGGCGUUACUUUUUAGAAGUGAAAUUGAAACACAUUUAAUAGUAAAUGAUAGUGAUAGUUCUGAAAUUAUUUCACUUAAGGAAAAUAUGCUAAAAAAACUUGCGUUACGAUUUCCGGUUUGUAAUCUGCAAGUAAUUUUAUAUAAGUAUAUUCUUUCAUUUUUUAUUUAAAAUUAUCUAGGUAUUGGCUUCUCUUUUAGAUCCAAAAUUUUAAAAAUUGACAAUUGUGUCAAAGUAUUUAAUAGAGCAAAAUUGCUCAGCUCUACAGAAUUUAUAAUAAAACAUCUUAAACUUAUAGAGAAUGAUGAUAAUCAGGUAGUAAACAUAGCUAAUGAGGAUGAAGAUGAAUUAUUAAAUUCAAGUCAUUUGACAAAAUUGGCAAAUAAACAUUCAACAAAUAUAAAUUAUGAUUCCAAGUUAGGUGACUUAGAACAAGAAUGCCACAGUUUUCUUGGAAAACGACAUUCACAAGAUAUGUACGUUCUCAAUUUUUGGAGAUAAAAGAAGAGUGAACUUCCCAAUCUUUCCAGGCUCGCCAAAAAAUUAUUUGCAUUACGGCGACUAGCACACCUAGUGAAAGAGUUUACUCUACCGCUGAAUUGACGUUAAAUUCAAGGAGACUAUCAUUAUGUUCCAAAAAUUUUAAUAAAAUAAUUUUUAUAACAUGAAAUCGAUUUUGAAUAUAAUAAGUUUUCUAUUAAUGAAUAUUCAAAAAUAUGCCGAGAUAUCUGUAGAAUAGUGUAUAUUUUUUUUUUUUAAAUUAAUAAACAAUUAAAAAAAUUUAUCUUAUAAAAAUUUAUAAAUGUGCCAAUUUUAUUGACGGCGGCUAAAAUCGGCGCACCGCCGGCCGUUGAUUAGAUUUUUUAAUUGCGCCGGCCGCCAAUAUUUCGUCGGCGCACAGGUCUAAAUAUAUGUAACUACCAAUGACUAUUCAUAGUGAGCUUUUGCGACGCGACACGACAAUCCCGCCACAUUUGUUCGCAUUAAACAUAAAAAUCAAGUUACAAAUCAUUUUGUUUUCCAUGCGACAUAACAACAAUAUGGCCCGAAAAAGAAAAUUUGCAAAAAAUCAAUAAAGAUUUCAUCAACUCAAUCAGAUACCAUCAGCUGAAAACAAUAUUGAGACAGUAAAGAUGGCCAAAUUAGUGUGGAAAAAUCCAAUUUUAAGGAAUGAUUCAUUAUCAACUAGUAUAGGAUCAAAUUUAUCUUGCAAAAAAUUAAUUAAAAAGAGGGAUAUUGAUCAAGAUCUAUUUGAGAAAAUUCUUGAAAUAUAAAAAAUAAAAGAAAAUACAUUAUCAACAAACUCUUGGAUCAAUGUUAUCAAAAAGAUUUGAAAGUGGAAAGAAAAAACUUAUUAAAUUUUUUUUGAUAUUUUGUUAUUAUGAAAGUGAUAAUGAAUAAAAAAUAUUAUAUUGCA
Gordionus sp. m RMFG-2023 is the source of this 3203-nucleotide long non-coding RNA. RefSeq lists it as uncharacterized. The transcript has 5 exons. The record is from RefSeq and is a predicted model, not a curated record. NCBI's taxonomy places the organism in Eukaryota, Metazoa, Nematomorpha, Gordioida, Chordodea, Parachordodidae.